RNAcentral lists this unclassified non-coding RNA (619 nucleotides) under Mizuhopecten yessoensis (Yesso scallop). RNAcentral describes it as "histone H3.3-like, transcript variant X3". Lineage: Eukaryota; Metazoa; Mollusca; Bivalvia; Pectinida; Pectinidae. The record is from RNAcentral.
UUGUGAAGGUAUACCAACACUAAUAUGUGAAGGUAUACCAACACUAAUAUGUGAAGGUGUACCAACACUAAUAUGUGAAGGUACACUGGCUAAUAUGUGAAGGUAUACCAACACUAAUAUGUGAAGGUAUACUGGCUAUUAUGUGAAGGUGUACCAACACUAAUAUGUGAAGGUACACUGGCUAUUAUGUGAAGGUGUACCAACACUAAUAUGUGAAGGUACACUGGCUAUAAUGUGAAGGUAUACCAACACUAAUAUGUGAAGGUACACUGGCUAUUAUGUGAAGGUAUACCAACACUAAUAUGUGAAGGUCCACUGCUUAUAUGUGAAGGUUAGGUGUACCAAAACUAAUAUGUGAAGGUAUACUGGCUUAUUUGAGGGAAGGGGUACUAAAACAGAUGUGAGCAGUGAACAGUGAGCAGUGAAUCUGUUUUGAGCAAUGCUUGUUUACAUUGCCAUCCAGGGACAAUUGGGUCUUUGUUUAUAGCAUGAGCAGUGUACAUCUGCAAAUAUGUUGUCAAUAAUUGUGAAAAAAGGCUAUUUUGUACAAUGUUUUUUAAUUUGCAUGAAAUUAUCUACUUUUAAAUAAAAUAUAUUAACCAAGCAAGUUUAAUAUUUU